Columba livia (rock pigeon) is the source of this 725-nucleotide long non-coding RNA. RefSeq lists it as uncharacterized. The record is from RefSeq and is a predicted model, not a curated record. The transcript has 3 exons. NCBI's taxonomy places the organism in Eukaryota, Metazoa, Chordata, Aves, Columbiformes, Columbidae.
CCCCCCCGUUCCCCCCCCAGCCGCACAGGCCCCCCUGAAGCCCAAGACGCCGCGCGGCACCAAGACCCCCAUCAACCGCAACCAGCUGAGCCAGAGCCGGGGGCUGGCGGGGCUGGUGGGCAAGCGGGGCUACGAGGGGGCAGCCGAGGGCCACCGGCCCCCCCGCCUGCGGGUGGGCGCGGCGGCUCUCCCGUUCUCCGCCAACGGGCGCCCCGUGGCCGCGGGGCUGCGCGCCGGGCCCCCCCCCGCCAGCAAGCGCCAGAAGCUGAACCCAGCGGACGCCCCCAACCCGUGGUGUUCGUGGCCACCAAGGACACCAGGGCGCUUCGCAAGGCCCUGACGCACCUGGAGCUCCGCCGCGCCGCCCGCCGCCCCAACCUCCCCCUCAAGGUCAAGCCGCUACGGCCCGGGGGGGCCCUGGCGCCCCCCGCCCCCCCCCACACCCCGCCAGCACCUCGGAGCCCAUUGUCCUGGAGGACUGACCCCCCCCCCCCCCCCAUUAUCCCCAACUGCGCCCCUUUUGUAUUUUUUUAAUCUCCAUAGAAACCACAGCGGGGGGGCGGGGUCUAUUCUGCCCCCCCCCCCCCCGCCCCCCCCCGCCACCCCACCCGUGACCCCUUUUGUACGUGGAGCGAUGCCCCCCCCCCUCCCCUCCCCCCCGGUUUUGUAUCUCGGGCCGUCCCGGUUCUGUAGGCACAGGAAAUAAAGCCGGCGGUUUUUCUUGA